AGCAGCCGCGGUAAUUCCAGCUCCAAUAGCGUAUAUUAAAGUUGUUGCAGUUAAAAAGCUCGUAGUUGAAUUUCGGGAUCAGUAUGUUGGUCGUGCUUCGGUACGUACUGUCAUUACUGGUUUCUCCCUUCUGAAGAACCUUGGUGUCAUUAAUUUGGUGUCUUGGGGAAUCAGGACUGUUACUUUGAAAAAUUAGAGUGUUUAAAGCAGGCAUACGCUUGAAUACAUUAGCAUGGAAUAAUGAAAUAGGACGUUUGAUUCUAUUUUGUUGGUUUCUAGGAUCGACGUAAUGAUUAAUAGGGAUAGUUGGGGGCAUUAGUAUUCAAUUGUCAGAGGUGAAAUUCUUGGAUUUAUUGAAGACUAACUACUGCGAAAGCAUUUGCCAAGGAUGUUUUCAUUAAU
This 402-nucleotide ribosomal RNA is filed under the name Glomus sp. 8 FW-2016. RNAcentral's name for it is "SSU rRNA". It matches the Rfam family "Eukaryotic small subunit ribosomal RNA", at positions 569 to 977 of the family's 1831-position model. Lineage: Eukaryota; Fungi; Glomeromycota; Glomeromycetes; Glomerales; Glomeraceae. The record is from RNAcentral.